Molecule: long non-coding RNA, 1908 nt
Organism: Triticum urartu
Lineage: Eukaryota; Viridiplantae; Streptophyta; Magnoliopsida; Poales; Poaceae
Source: RefSeq, a predicted model, not a curated record
UUAUUCUGAUAACACCUCGUAUCCACUCGUAGCUACUAGUACAAACUAACCACACAGCCGCUCCACACUAUCCCCGAUCCAACCACCAAACCCACGAACCCCAUUGCAUCUGGGAAUCCCUGCAUCUGCUCCCUCCCACCGGCGCACCACCGCGGUAACCACCAGCACCGCCCCUGUCCCCACACUACCGCGGCCACCUCCUUCCUCCCUUCUUCCUCUCCCACCAGCUCCCGGGCCCCGCCGUACCACCUCCUUCCUCCGGUGACGCCACUCGGGACCCGCCCCACCAUCUCCUUCCUCCGGCGCCACCACUCGGGUCCCGCCCCACCGCCUUCUUCCUUUGAUGGCCCCGCUGGCGCCAUGGAUCCCCCGGUGCAGCAGUCGUCCCCCUCUCCUCCAUCUCCCACCUCUAGGUCUACCCGGUGACGGAUCCGGCAGGACCCUCCUCCAUCCCUCCUAUCGUGCCUGCCCAGUGACGGAUCCGGCUGGAUCCACCUCCAUCUCCGUCCUCCCGUGCCUGCCCGGCGACGGAUCCGGCAGGACCCUCCUCCACCCCCUCCUACUGUGCCUGAACGACGACGGAUCCGGCGGGAUCCUCCUCCACAUCCGUCCCCCGUGCCUGCCCGCCGAUUGGAUCCUCCUACACCUCCCAUUCCCGUGCUAGCCGGUCACGGAUCCGGCAAGAUCCUCCACCCCUCUCCUCCCACACCUUCCUGGAGACGGAUACGGCAGGAUCCUGUUGCAGCUCCUUCCUCUACGGCGGCGUCGAGCUCUCUACCCUCCCCUACGAGCCGCCCUCCCCUCUCUCCUUUCCUUCUUCCUCCUCUCCCCGGAAACUACCUCCGGCGAGGUCUAGUGCAUGUCCAUCCUCGGCGGCUCGCGUGCAGUUCGGCCAACGAUGGCGUGCAGUACGACGUACGAUGGCAUGCAGUUCCGCGACCUUCCCUGGCGUGCAGUGCAGCUUGCCCUGGUGUGCAGUGCAGCUCGCCCUAGCGUGCAGUGUAGCCCAUCCAUGCAUGCGGGCACCCUCACCUGCAACUCUACGCUUACGGAUUCCCUUGUGGCAGCCGCUGGGAUUAUCGCCCAGGAAGUUGCUGGUGAUGUUCGCAUGACUGAUACCAGCAUCUGGCAAGGGUAGAUUCUUUGCCUUUGGACGUGUUUUUGCUGGGAGGGUUGCAAAUGGUAUGAAGGUCCGUAUCAUGGGUCCUAACUUUGUUCCUGGCCAGAAGAAGGAUUUGUAUGUGAAGAGUGUCCAGCGUACUGUUAUCUGGAUGGUAAAGAAGCAAGAAUCGGUUGAGGAUGUUCCCUGUGGUAACACUGUUGCUUUGGUUGGUUUGGAUCAGUUCAUCACCAAGAAAUGCAACCCUGACAAAUGAGAAUGAAGUUGAUGCCUGCCCAAUCAGGGCAAUGAAGUUCUCUGUGUCCCCUGUUGUGCGUGUUGCUGUUCAGUGCAAGGUGGCUUCUGAUCUUCCUAAGCUUGUUGAGGGUUUGAAGCGGCUAGCAAAGUCUGACCCUAUGGUUCUUUGUAGCAUUGAAGAUUCUGGUGAGCAUAUCAUUGCUGGAGCUGGAGAGCUUCACCUUGAAAUCUCUUUGAAGGAUCUGUAGGAGGAUUUCAUGGGUGGUGCUGAAAUUAUUGUUUCACCUCCUGUUGUCUCCUUCUGUAGAUAACUAAAAAGAAUGAUGGCCAAAAAAACUGCAGUACACUUUUUAUGUGUGUGGGAGUUCGCUUUGAACUCUCUGGAAGCUCACUCGGGCUCAAGAACAAACACACGUAUCACAUGCCUAGCAAAAAGCAGUAUAGUCAAACCUGCAUGCAGUUACUUGGUCGACAUUGCAGUGCGGUUUUUGAUUUGAAGCAGUGUGUGUGAUAUGUUGUUUUCAAUUUGGUCGACACCGCAAUGUGAUUCA